Molecule: long non-coding RNA, 329 nt
Filed under: Zostera marina
Lineage: Eukaryota; Viridiplantae; Streptophyta; Magnoliopsida; Alismatales; Zosteraceae
Description: long non-coding RNA (ZMAR_LNC005908)
Source: RNAcentral
UGGAAAAAUCGAUUUGAGUGUUGCAGCAGUCAACGAUCGACGGUGCUUAGAGGAAGGAGAAAAUGCUUGGAAAACCCGAUUGAAGAUUUGAUUUGAGCGAUAGAGGAAUAAAAUCGAGUGGAUAAAAAUUACCGACGGACGAGAUCGAACUAUAGUGGUAGCUUAGAGAAACUAGCGAGAUCGAGCUGCAAUCUCUGAAAAAUUCAUUUCGACGAGCCUGUACUCAAAUCGACGUACACAAGCACCAAAUGAGCGAACACUUAAAGAAAUGGCGAUCGAUGAAUGAGCACACGAAAAUAGGUUCGUUCGGAUCUGUUAAGAACACUCAU